This 1216-nucleotide long non-coding RNA is filed under the name Cricetulus griseus (Chinese hamster). RNAcentral's name for it is "lncRNA (ENSCGRG00015041008.1)". The record is from RNAcentral. Lineage: Eukaryota; Metazoa; Chordata; Mammalia; Rodentia; Cricetidae.
CAGUGGCUGGCCAUUGAUCCUGGACAGUGGUCCAGAUAGGCCACAUAAUAAGACACCUGUCUGUAAACCAUGGUGAUCAGUCUUCCCUGGGUUAUUCAAUAAACAAAUUCCCAACCAACUAGAACCCUACAAAUUUACAAAUAGGUUUGUGGUACAGUCUUCAAGAAACACAAGAUUCUUUAAGACAUAAAAACAGGAGGAGAUAGUAUUUAACUGGUCAGCAAUGGUCACCCUGGAGAGGACAAAAUGACAAGUUCAGACUUGGAAGCAGGGUAGCACCAUCACCUCUGCACAUCCUUCCACCUUCCUUCUCAGCCUGAGGAGACCCAGUUUUCCUGCCCAUCCCAAUCUCAUCUUGUCCACUAAAGGCACCUUCUAUCAUGGCAAGAAGGGUGAAACAAUGCAUAGCAUAUCUGCAACCUUGUGCUGCCAGAGAGGAGCCGGCCUGCAUCAAACUCUAACAAAACAUAUCCUAGUGUAAUCAGGAGGCCUCACUACAUGAGCAGCAAGUAGAGGGAAAUGGACAGCACCAUCAUACCUAAGGAUGCAUUAUGGACCUUUCAGAGAGUUCAUUAUCAGAAACCUCCUCCAUCGAGCCACCCCAGAACAUGACCAGAUCUGGUGCUUACAACCCAAAGAGUAAAAGAUACUCUUAGGAUAAAACAUCUCCAUUCUCAGGGAAGGAAGUCCAAUGUGAGAACAGGAGCACACAAAGACACAGACAGCAGUUCAUCUCACAACCCCCAGCAGACAUCACCUCAGGAGCAACUCAAUGGCCAGCCCCAAGGUGUGACAGAGCCUACAGAAUCAAAUUGCAAAUUGAUUGCACAGACUGUUCCACUGCCUUCUGGCCCCAAAGAAGCAGUGUUGCCCAAUAACAGACACCUGUCAGUGAAUCAGGAAAACAGCGGAGGCAGUGGUGGAACAAAUAGUGUUGAUGGAGCACCUGGGCUCCCUGGAGGCUGACAUCUGGUAUGGACGCCACCAACCACAGCAGAACCCAGCCUACGUCUAGGCAGCUGUGUGCCUGCACCCCAGGCAAGAGGAUCCUGUCUAGCAUGAAAGAUUCCCAUGAGCAGUGAAGUGUCACUUGCCUAAGGGGAAAGAGGAUCAGAACUAGAGAGAGAUAAGGUGGACAGGCAGAGAGAUGGAAGAAAAAUGAUCAUCUAUCCUGAGAACCCCCAUCUGCCUGCACUGUACGUUUAUAUACAGAAAC